UUUGUUUACCCUGUAAAAUUCAAGAAAAAAGUACGCGUUUCUUUAGUUAUUUGCAAGCCCACCAUUGGGCCAUUCCAAACUGGCACAUCAAUUUUGGUUUUCCUAUCCGCCACCUGGCGCUGGCGGCGGCUCCUCAAACAGCAAAACAGCGCAAACCGACGAGGAAAAGCAACGCGAUCGCCAGCGCAACGAGCGUGAGGCCAAAAAGGAAGAGCAGGACGCUAUCAAUUACAAGGCCCGAUGCCCGAGUAACUCUGCACAAGUAUAUCGCUCGUAAUUAGGCAAUUCAAUUAAAAUGGCCGCAGAGCUGAGUAACUUAUAGUUAAAAUGCACUUUGCAACAAUUGCAUGUAAACAGCGCGACAAGGAGCAACGAGAGGCGCGUUUGCUGGACUUUGAGAUACGGCGCCAGCAAAAGCGCGAGGAGCAGAACCAGCAGCGGCAGCAGCAGCAGCAGCUACACCAGCAUCAGCAACAGCAGCUGCAGCAGCA
Drosophila navojoa is the source of this 491-nucleotide long non-coding RNA. Lineage: Eukaryota; Metazoa; Arthropoda; Insecta; Diptera; Drosophilidae. The record is from RefSeq and is a predicted model, not a curated record.